AUUUACAUGAGAGUUUGAUCCUGGCUCAGGACGAACGCUGGCGGCGUGCCUAAUACAUGCAAGUCGAACGGUCUUUUCUAUGGAAGCUUGCUUCCA
This 96-nucleotide ribosomal RNA is filed under the name Trichococcus collinsii. RNAcentral describes it as "16S rRNA. Bacterial SSU". It matches the Rfam family "Bacterial small subunit ribosomal RNA", at positions 1 to 94 of the family's 1533-position model. The record is from RNAcentral. Lineage: Bacteria; Bacillati; Bacillota; Bacilli; Lactobacillales; Carnobacteriaceae.